GGUGGGGGUGAGGGUAGCGGUGCCUGUGCACUGGUGGAGGAGGGGAAGAGUAUUUGUAUGACUUCUUAGGAGGGGGUGGAGGAGAGUGGUAAACUGGGUGUGGGUGAGGGUAAGGCUUGUGCACUGGUGGUGGGGGAGAUGGGUAUUUGUAUGGCUUCUUUGGUGGUGGAGGUGGUGGGGAGUGGUAGAUUGGGUGAGGGUGAGGGUGAGGGUGUGGGUGAGGGUAAUGGUGAGGAGGGGGUGGAGGAGAUUGGUAGACUGGGUGUGGAUGAGGGUAGGGCUUGUGCACUGGUGGUGGUGGAGAUUGGUAGACUGGGUGUGGAUGAGGGUAGGGCUUGUGCACUGGUGGUGGUGGAGAUGGGUAGUGGUAGGGAGGUGGUGGUGAGGAGACUGGUGGAGGUGGAGGAGAGGA
RNAcentral lists this long non-coding RNA (412 nucleotides) under Phaseolus vulgaris (common bean). Its description in RNAcentral is "long non-coding RNA (PVUL_LNC002081)". Lineage: Eukaryota; Viridiplantae; Streptophyta; Magnoliopsida; Fabales; Fabaceae. The record is from RNAcentral.